Molecule: ribosomal RNA, 503 nt
Filed under: uncultured bacterium
Lineage: Bacteria
Description: partial 16S ribosomal RNA
Rfam family: Bacterial small subunit ribosomal RNA
Source: RNAcentral
AUUGAACGCUGGCGGCAGGCUUAACACAUGCAAGUCGAGCGGGGUGAUGGUGCUUGCACUAUCACUUAGCGGCGGACGGGUGAGUAAUGCUUAGGAAUCCGCCUAUUAGUGGGGGACAACAUCUCGAAAGGGAUGCUAAUACCGCAUACGUCCUACGGGAGAAAGCAGGGGAUCACUUGUGACCUUGCGCUAAUAGAUGAGCCUAAGUCGGAUUAGCUAGUUGGUGGGGUAAAGGCCUACCAAGGCGACGAUCUGUAGCGGGUCUGAGAGGAUGAGCCGCAACACUGGGAAGGAGACACGGCCCAGACUCCUACGGGAGGUAGCAGUGGGGAAUAUUGGACAAUGGGGGGAACCCUGAUCCAGCCAUGCCGCGUGUGUGAAGAAGGCCUUAUGGUUGUAAAGCACUUUAAGCGAGGAGGAGGCUCUUUUGGUUAAUACCCAAGAUGAGUGGACGUUACUCGCAGAAUAAGCACCGGCUAACUCUGUGCCAGCCGCCGCCGUAA